AUGAAGACCGACUGCCGUUAACUAGUCGAGCUAUGGAAUACCCGGUUGUCAGCGCGUUCUGUCGUAGCAUCGCUUUUAGAUGAAAUUAGAGAGCUAUCUCUGCAGUUUAAUUCCUUUGUAAUUCAACAUAUUUGUAGAUCGGCCAAUGUACCGGCGCACUUGUGUGCUAAGCUAGCUUGCACGCUUAGUGUGUCGAAAAGUUGGAUCGACGAGACUCUAAGCUUCCUGGUCGGUACCCUUUUGGCUGACUGCAACAGGAAUUCAUUAGUUGAAUAA
This 276-nucleotide ribosomal RNA is filed under the name Triticum aestivum (bread wheat). Its description in RNAcentral is "partial small subunit ribosomal RNA". The record is from RNAcentral. Lineage: Eukaryota; Viridiplantae; Streptophyta; Magnoliopsida; Poales; Poaceae.